Molecule: ribosomal RNA, 2559 nt
Filed under: Triticum aestivum (bread wheat)
Lineage: Eukaryota; Viridiplantae; Streptophyta; Magnoliopsida; Poales; Poaceae
Description: partial small subunit ribosomal RNA
Source: RNAcentral
GCGGUUGGUAGAAAGGGGCAUUUGAAAGUUAUUAGUAGCUGUACACCUACAGUGUUUGUUGGGAUGGGGCGUUUUGUCAGUAACGCACAUUCUGUUAACAAAAAAAGAAACUCCGACUCUGUUAACCAAAAGUUGGCACACGGGCAUCGUCAAGCCCGCAGGCCGCGGUGUGGCCUGGUGGUGCAAGGCCGGCGGCCCUGGGCCGACGGGGCGGCACUUCCCGUUGUUCAUUUCACCCACGUGCCGCGACCAUGGGUAUCGCCUCGUUCUCUCUGGAGAAGGCCAGAUAUUUUGGAAAAGAGAGAGGCGACAGACCAGAGAGUGGAGGUAGAACCGUAAAGGCCCCGAGGCGGUUAUAUUGGGAGGCGGGAGGGAAAAGAGAGAGGUUGGUGAGGCGGAGCGGAGCGGAGCGGGUCGGGGGGACAGGACAGGACACGCGGGCAGCGCUGUUGGUAGACUGAUUCGUCGCGGGAGGCGCGUCGCCGGGUACCGCGGCCGCCACCCCUAGUUCGCCCGGCGGCGCCGCGUCCGGCAGUGCCACGUCCGCGGCGGCGGCGGCGGGCUGCGCGCCGACCACGCGCUCCGGCACGCCUGGAGGUGCUAGCGGCUCCGGCAGCGGGGGCGGCGGGACGUCCGAGGGCGCGGGCGCGAGCUCCCGAAGGAGACGGAGCUCCUCCACCUCCCCGCCGCCACCUUCAUGCACCAGCUACGUCGGGGGCCCUUCCCGUCCCCGUCCCCGGCCCCGCCCAGGCGACAAGGGGACCCCCGGAGGCAGGCCCGGCACGGCGAGGUCAGCGGCGACGGCGGGCGGCUCCUUUAUUACCGCAAGCAUUCUAGCAUACAACACGGACUUCCCAAAGGUCUGUCACAAUGAGGAAGUAUGCAGGGUAUGUACUGGACCUCUCGAGAGUUCGUAAAAAAACCACCUCGUUACCCACACAAGUGUUGUUCUUGGAACGACUCGAGGCAACCUCAGAGAGUUUCGUUCCAAUGGGGCCCACGAUAACGAUAGUUUGACCUAGGAGUUCCUGCCACGACCUGCACAACCUUUUUACGAAAAACGCGCUGUUCCUUUCUUCAAACUGUUACUGGAUUUCGUCGAGGCGAAAAGAUCACUAGAGAACGACCUCUAUCCGCGACCCUAUCUCAAUCGAUGACGUCGGAAGGGAGUCAAAAAGAACGGAUACCGAACGCAACGUUUACAACAUUUCUUACAGCGACGACAAUGUAGCUGGAGUUGAGCGUGGGGUUAGAUGUUCCGUAUACGUUCUCCUCUUUUAUAACCUCUACAUUGACGAUUCCCGCUUAGACAGCCCUUGUAACGUCUAGACGACCCGUGACCAAACUCGUAGAAAUAGUGUUUCGCCUUGGGUAGCAACCACUGAAGUAAACGGGAGGACAGUACACCUAUAGAGGACUCAAGUAUAGUACUCCACUCCAGACAACACGACUUAUGGGAUUUGUCCCGUUCCAAAUGACAACGUCACCUAAGGAAAUAAUUCUGUCCCAUACAAGGGAGCAACUUCCUUCCUUUGAGCGUCCUCUGUUAUAAAUAAGUAGGAACCGCCGUACUCGGUCAAAGUUAUCCUAGUGCUAAACCUCUUCGUAAAGUUCUUGGGCAAAGUAAACAACGAUGUUCCGGAAACAAACUCCUACUCGCUAUGUACCAUUGUAUAUUGGGUUGUUUCCUAUUUCAUAUACGUAACGAGUUCCUGGUUCGUUUCGGUCUACUGUAAGAGUUUCGACGAAAGGUACGGGUACACAACGACGUAAAGUAGUUACAUAGUGUACUUGCCUUCUCCUACUCGAGGUUAGCUAGUCUAGUGAUACCUUUGGGCGUGGGUGCCUUGUACCUAAAGGACCGUGUGUAGCGUCUUAGGACGUUUUAACACAGUAGGAGAAUACCUUGUAAGUCCUUCUUUCGUUUUCUUGUCCCGACCUAUUACAGUCUCAGUGAAGAAUUGGGACCCUUCCGAGCUAAUACGCAGUGCUCUGGCGUCACUGAAGUGAUAAAGGCAAAUGGUAGCUGCCCUACUAUGGUAGAGAUCGACAAUGAGAUCGAAAAAGCUGCUUCUGCCCUGUACUACGACUACUCAACAACCAUCGACUUGAUUGUACACAACCUCGGGCCGGAUCCACAAUUGGUCACUCGGAUGGUAGAGCACGUUGGGGAUGACGACAUAGUUGAUGUCGACGGCUUUAGGCCCCUGUGGUUCUUCGACAUACGAGCGCGACUCGGUACUCUUCUGACUCCCGCUGGAGGUUGGCGAUUGACGUAUCCUCAUCCAAGGCAUCUCCCUGCAUAUAAAUUCGAACGACCAUCAUCGCAGCGACACUACCUCCUGAACGAUUGACAUACAUCGGACAAGGACUCACCACAAGCAGCCGACGCCUCAGCAAAAGCCUUACAUCCUUCUCGACAAAGGAAAAAACGACACGAAACUCUAUACCACAAGCAGUACGUGGAAACAUCCCGGCGAACAACAUUCAACGUCAAAAAGGCCCACCUCUCACAAAAAUACAGCUACGAACAUGUAUGAUCAUGGACGAACAACAUUA